AAGUGAGGAUGAGAUUGAGAGAGA
Molecule: microRNA, 24 nt
Filed under: Prunus persica (peach)
Lineage: Eukaryota; Viridiplantae; Streptophyta; Magnoliopsida; Rosales; Rosaceae
Description: microRNA miRNA_28
Source: RNAcentral